GACGAACGCUGGCGGCGUGCUUAACACAUGCAAGUCGAACGGUAAGGCUCCAGCUUGCUGGGGUACACGAGUGGCGAACGGGUGAGUAACACGUGGGUGACCUGCCCUGCACUUCGGGAUAAGCCUGGGAAACUGGGUCUAAUACCGGAUAGGACUGCACCGUGAGGGUGUGGUGGAAAGUUUUUUCGGUGUGGGAUGGGCCCGCGGCCUAUCAGCUUGUUGGUGGGGUAAUGGCCUACCAAGGCGGCGACGGGUAGCCGGCCUGAGAGGGUGGACGGCCACAUUGGGACUGAGACACGGCCCAGACUCCUACGGGAGGCAGCAGUGGGGAAUAUUGCACAAUGGGCGGAAGCCUGAUGCAGCGACGCCGCGUGGGGGAUGACGGCCUUCGGGUUGUAAACUCCUUUCACCAUCGACGAAGGGUUUCUGACGGUAGAUGGAGAAGAAGCACCGGCUAACUACGUGCCAGCAGCCGCGGUAAUACGUAGGGUGCGAGCGUUGUCCGGAAUUACUGGGCGUAAAGAGCUCGUAGGUGGUUUGUCGCGUCGUCUGUGAAAUUCCGGGGCUUAACUCCGGGCGUGCAGGCGAUACGGGCAUAACUUGAGUACUGUAGGGGAGACUGGAAUUCCUGGUGUAGCGGUGAAAUGCGCAGAUAUCAGGAGGAACACCGGUGGCGAAGGCGGGUCUCUGGGCAGUAACUGACGCUGAGGAGCGAAAGCAUGGGGAGCGAACAGGAUUAGAUACCCAGGUAGUCCAUGCCGUAAACGGUGGGCGCUAGGUGUGGGUUUCCUUCCACGGGAUCCGUGCCGUAGCUAACGCAUUAAGCGCCCCGCCUGGGGAGUACGGCCGCAAGGCUAAAACUCAAAGGAAUUGACGGGGGCCCGCACAAGCGGCGGAGCAUGUGGAUUAAUUCGAUGCAACGCGAAGAACCUUACCUGGGCUUGACAUAUACAGGAUCGCGCCAGAGAUGGUGUUUCCCUUGUGGCUUGUAUACAGGUGGUGCAUGGUUGUCGUCAGCUCGUGUCGUGAGAUGUUGGGUUAAGUCCCGCAACGAGCGCAACCCUUGUCUUAUGUUGCCAGCACGUUGUGGUGGGGACUCGUAAGAAACUGCCGGGGUUAACUCGGAGGAAGGUGGGGAUGACGUCAAAUCAUCAUGCCCCUUAUGUCCAGGGCUUCACACAUGCUACAAUGGUCGGUACAGUGGGUUGCCAGUCCGUGAGGGCGAGCUAAUCCCGCAAAGCCGGUCUCAGUUCGGAUCGGGGUCUGCAACUCGACCCCGUGAAGUCGGAGUCGCUAGUAAUCGCAGAUCAGCAACGCUGCGGUGAAUACGUUCCCGGGCCU
This 1341-nucleotide ribosomal RNA is filed under the name uncultured bacterium. RNAcentral's name for it is "partial 16S ribosomal RNA". It matches the Rfam family "Bacterial small subunit ribosomal RNA", at positions 28 to 1381 of the family's 1533-position model. The record is from RNAcentral.